This 1803-nucleotide unclassified non-coding RNA is filed under the name Nilaparvata lugens (brown planthopper). Its description in RNAcentral is "uncharacterized LOC111045191, transcript variant X5". The record is from RNAcentral. Lineage: Eukaryota; Metazoa; Arthropoda; Insecta; Hemiptera; Delphacidae.
UCUAAUUUUUUUAUUGAAAUGAAACUUAUUAGUUGCAGAAGUCUUGACUUGCUUUUAUUGAUAAUUUAUCAUUGAUCCAGUGACUACAACCUUCCUGUAUGUUCACAAAAGAUAUAUUCAAUAUAUAUACAAGGAUUCGAGGAUGCAAGUAAUAUUAUGGUACAUUAGCAGUAGUCCUAAAUGUUAAGGUAAACUGACAAAGCGUUGAGACAGCAUUUCAAACUUCAUAAAUCUACUACAAAAUGGUCUAUAAUUUUAUGGCAAUCAUCAAAGAAAAGGAACAGUGCAAACAAGAUCGUUCAGAACUAGUUGCUGUGAAACUUCAAACAUAUUUUCAGAACAGAAAAAGCCUGAGCCACAUAGUCAACAAACUCUUGAAACACCUGGCCUUUCUACAACACUACCCACCAGAGUUGGUGUCAACUCGAGGCAACGUCAUCUUUGCAACAAUGCUGUUCAUCGCUCUACAGCCAGCUCUGGCCGUUUGCACGAGUUGGCAACACUGGAAUUUCAAGUCCAGGGUAUCGGCAGUCGAUAAUCUCAUAUUUUCACUGGGCGCUCUAUGUUUGUCCAUUGAUGUCUACAUGCUGUCAGAGAAAUUGCGCACUCUCAUCAAUUUGACAAGUUCCCAGUACAAAUUGUACAGCAUUGGUUCAAGAGUGGAAGAUGAUAGGAAGCAGUCUGAAAUAGCAGGUGAUAGAAGAUUCGGUAUUCUUGAAGAAAAUACUUUGAAAAAAUACGGAGAAGAUUUGGUUCAAGAAAAAGUGAGAAGUUUGGGGGGAACCUUUACCUCUAAAGAGCACAAGAGGACUUGGGUGAAUCGUGAAAACGAUAAUGGUACAAAAGUGGGAGACAGUAAUUUCUAUUAUGGAAAUCAUUUGAAAGAAGCAGAUAUCCUUGAAGAGAAAACAGAGGAUUUCUAUGGUAGAAAUAGACACAUCGAAGUUGUGGAAAUGUAUCAUGGAGAAACAAAAUUAUUCGAACAGAAAGAUGGGAGGGAGGAUGAAAUUAUUAAUUCGGAAACAAGAGAAUAUUUUAAUGAAAAAGGGAAAGUGUCAGCAUAUUUUAAUAGUGUGGAAAGAUCUAAAGCUAAUAGAAUGUCCAUCAGGAACCAUGUUAGUUGCAAUUUUAAAAUUGGACCUACCAAUGAAGAAAAACUAGGGGACAUGGAAGGUUCAAGAUUUGGAAUGAACAGUGGCAAAAAUGUCCACAGUGACUAUUUUUUAAAAAAGAAACAAAAACUUAUAGAAAAAGUCUCUCUGGAAGGAUGCAGACGAGCUGGAACCACUGCCAAUGUGAUCACGUCUUUUUUCUCCAGUUUCACUCUGAUUCCUUUAUCCGGUAUUCUCUUCUACUUCCUCCGCCUUGAAUCUGUCGGAAAUCUUCCUCUUCCCUUCAUCAUCUAUUCUCCAUUCUCCUUUUCACUAAACAUCACCGGAUUCUUCGAGUAUUUUCUUUUGGCUUCAGUGGAACUGUUCUAUAUCUACUACACAGCUGUGCUAGCGACAACCGUUCAUGUCAUACAAACGUUGUCUAUAAAUAAUUUGAUUGGAGAGAUGCGGCUAUUUCAUUUGAACGCUCAAGAAAUUGAUGGAGUGUUUGAGAGUGUGUUAGAUGACGUACAGAAUGAACUCAGACUGCGUUUAGUCGUCAGAGAACUUGCCAUACAUCAUCAAACUAUAUUCAGAAAGGUGAAUUAAUAUUGAAAAUCAAGUAUGGUCUGAUGGUAAUCACUAUAGCACUGCUGGAAUUUAUCUUCAGCGAGAACGGGCAAAGAUUACAGGAUGAGGGAGAAGAGCUGAG